UCACUUGAAUGAAGAAAGGAAGAAAGAAGAAGAGAGAAAGAAGAAGAAAAGGGAGAAGAAGAAGAAGUCCAAGAAGCCUAGAGGAGUUUGAGAAAAUUAAGGGAAGUGAUUUUGGAGGCUUGAAGUUGUUGGAAACUUGAAGAUCCAUGGAGUAUUGAGGUAUUGAAGCAUGCUAUGGAAGGGUUUGGCAAGAGAAAGAGGCUUGAGCAUGAAGAAUUUUGUAUAUUUUU
Diospyros lotus (date-plum) is the source of this 230-nucleotide long non-coding RNA. RefSeq lists it as uncharacterized. The transcript has 3 exons. The record is from RefSeq and is a predicted model, not a curated record. Lineage: Eukaryota; Viridiplantae; Streptophyta; Magnoliopsida; Ericales; Ebenaceae.